This 795-nucleotide ribosomal RNA is filed under the name Triticum aestivum (bread wheat). Its description in RNAcentral is "partial small subunit ribosomal RNA". The record is from RNAcentral. Lineage: Eukaryota; Viridiplantae; Streptophyta; Magnoliopsida; Poales; Poaceae.
AUGUGGAGAGCGGCCGGCAUGGAUCUCGAUAGGGUCGAGCUCGUGUGGCUAUCGGAUCAAGUAAGUUGCCAUGCGGACGAAUUCUGGCCCCUUGUCAUGGAUGUUGGCAGAAAAAGCGACACGAAAAGAAUAAAAAAGUCGCUUCGCGUUCAUCGCACGGAUGAUACAAGGGGCCAUGGGAGCUUAGAUCCCUACUUGUUUAGAGAUUUCACUCCUGCUGAGAUAUUCCAUCCUUGCUUACAGUGUGCCGGCAUAGUGCUGUUACACCACAAGGCGGACAUAUGGCUGCUCGACGCGGAUCAGCGUGUUGCCCACAUGUUAGCUACACAAUACUGCAACCGCCUGCAGAUGAAAGAUGGACCAGUUGCCCUGUUCCACGACGUGCCGCCAAAUUUGCUCGAAUACCCGGAACAUGAGGCGUGGAAUGAUCCCAGAUGGGCCAUCUUCAUGGAAGACGACGAGGAAAACGUCGGCUGCAAAAUAAAGAAAGCCUUCUGCCCUCCAAAGAUUACAAAAGGCAACCCUUGCUUCGAGUACAUAAGAUGUAUAAUCUUCCCUUGGUUUGGAAAAUUCGAGGUGGUUCGGAAGGAAGGGAAUUGUGGUGCGACGUUCUUCGGCAUGGAUGAGCUUACUGUUGCUUAUGAAAGUGGCAUUCUGCAUCCCGCCGACGUGAAAGAUGCGCCUGAGAAGGCAAUAAACAUGAUGUUGCGGCACAUCAAUGAUCGCCUCAAAAGCAACCCUGGAGGCAAAGAACUAGUGGAAGCAAUGGAGCAGCGAUUCAGCAUACCGUGGUGA